AGUUUAUAGUCCUGAGAGUUGAAGACUGGAUGACUGACAGCUGUCCUUCAUGACAACAGAAGCCACAGAAAUCCUCCUCAUCAAAAACAUGACUUUGACCUCCGUCCUCAUCUGGACUCUCCUCUGCUUCACUCAGGGGUCUGUUGGACAAAAUGUUGUCUUGACUCAGCCAGCAGCCAAAACAGUACAGCUGGGUCAAACUGUCUCUAUUGAAUGUAAGGCCAGUCCAAAAGUAGCUCAGUACUCUGGUGCACAAUACUACCUGUCCUGGUACCAUCAGAAAACUGGAGAAGCUCCUAAACUUCUGAUCUACAGAACAUCAGACAGAGAGUCAGGAAUCUCCUCCAGGUUCAGUGGAAGUGGAUCAGGGAAUGGAGUUGACUUCACUCUGACCAUCAGUAGAGUCCAGGCUGAAGAUUCAGGAGAUUAUUACUGUCAGAGUUAUCACUAUAUCAACAGUCAGCAUGUGUUGACUUUUGGUGGAGGAACCAGACUGGAUGUUGGAAGUGAUACUCGUCCCACCCUGACGGUGCUGCCCCCCUCCAGCGAGGAGCUGCAGCAGGGGAAGGCCACGCUCAUGUGCCUGGCCAACAAGGGCUUCCCCUCAGGCUGGAGUCUGGCCUGGAAGGUGGACGGCAGCAGCAACAGCAGCUGGAAGGAGACCAAGAGCCCCGGGGUGCUGGGUAAGGACGGCCUCUACAGCUGGAGCAGCACCCUGAGGCUCAAUGCAGACCAGUGGGGGAAGGUGGGCUCUGUGACCUGUGAGGCCACCCAGGGCUCCCAGCCUCUGGUCUCAGAGACACUGAGGAGAGACCAGUGUUAGUCCUGAGCUGACUCACUGGGACUCUGCUGCUGGUUUUACUCUGCUACUGCUCUCACUCUGCUCUCUCUAACACUGUCUCUCUCUCUUUUAUUUCACAUGUUUCACUAGAAAUAUUUACCAGCUUCUCGCAGUGUUUCAAUAUUGUUUCUGUGUUUCCAGAUAAUAAAAAUCUCUUCAUCAAA
Lates calcarifer (barramundi perch) is the source of this 1005-nucleotide non-coding RNA. The record is from the annotation of a RefSeq genome assembly. NCBI's taxonomy places the organism in Eukaryota, Metazoa, Chordata, Actinopteri, Centropomidae.